CAGCAGUGGGGAAUAUUGCACAAUGGGCGCAAGCCUGAGUGCAGCCAUGCCGCGUGUAUGAAGAAGGCCUUCGGGUUGUAAAGUACUUUCAGCAGUUGAGGAAGGUGGGUAUGUUAAUAGCAUACUCAUUUGACGUUUAGCUGCAGAAGAAGCACCGGCUAACUCCGUGCCAGCAGCCGCGGUAAUACGGAGGGUGCGAGCGUUAAUCGGAAUUACUGGGCGUAAAGCGCAUGCAGGUGGUUUGUUAAGUCAGAUGUGAAAGCCCGGGGCUCAACCUCGGAAUUGCAUUUUGAAACUGGCAAACUAGAGUACUGUAGAGGGGGUAGGAAUUUCAGGUGUAGCGGUGAAAUGCGUAGAGAUCUGAAGGAAUACCGGUGGCGAAGGCGGCCCCCUGGACCAGAUACUGACACUCAGAUGCGAAAGCGUGGGGAGCAAACAGGAUUAUAUACCCUGGUAG
This 457-nucleotide ribosomal RNA is filed under the name uncultured bacterium. RNAcentral's name for it is "bacterial SSU rRNA". It matches the Rfam family "Bacterial small subunit ribosomal RNA", at positions 349 to 793 of the family's 1533-position model. The record is from RNAcentral.